GUCGAUUUAGCAGAGUAUUUGAAUCUAAGGCUAGUUAAACCGUUUGGUUUUCGACCACUAGGACCCGGGUUCGAUUCCCGCAUUGGACA
Cordylochernes scorpioides is the source of this 89-nucleotide non-coding RNA. NCBI's taxonomy places the organism in Eukaryota, Metazoa, Arthropoda, Arachnida, Pseudoscorpiones, Chernetidae. The record is from the annotation of a GenBank genome assembly.